CUUUCACAGGGUUGAAGAGGUGCUUGAGGACUGGACAAAUACAGCAUGAUUGUUAUUCUGAUCGGUCAAGAUCUCAUCAAGUCUGUAAGAGAAAUGAUACACCUUAUUUUGAGGUGAGCAACAACAUCCAGAGGUCCAUACACAUGCCAAGAAAUGGUGUAUUUACUCACCACCACAACAAUAUGGAGAAUGGCAGUCAAACAUAUUCUAUGAAAAUUAUAAAGAAUGGCAGAAUUGUUGCCUGUGAAGACUUCAGCAUUGUGUUUCCAAAUUAAAAGUCAGACAGAACAAGCUGGAACUAAAUUACAAGGUCCCAUAUGAAAUAGAAAGAAAUUAAGUUCUAAAUGCAAAUUCAGACAGCUACCUAUAAAAUAGCUAGUUUUUAUCUACUUUGUUUAAUAUCAGUGGUAUAGAUUUAGUUGUAAGCAAAUGUAUAAUUAAAACUCUACAUGUGUAGAUUGUCAGUUGGACUUUGUGUGUACAUUUAUUUCAGCCAAAUGUUGAAUAAAAAGCAUAUUAAAUUGUAGAUUCCUUCAAGUGUAAAUAAUUUAAACCAGAGUUCCAUUUUUCAUGAUUUAAAGUUUGGCUGUUAAUGCUGCCAUCAAGGUUCAGAAUCAAAUAAAUGCUUAAAAUAAAUACUUAAAACUAAAAAUUAAUCAGAAAUCUUUUAUUUUUAUUUUAUUAAUUUUUUAAUGCUAAUCCACUGAAACACAGUUCCAACUUUAAAUUAUCAAUUUGGAUCAUUUAAAGUUGGAACUAUUUAUCAGUGGAUUAGCAGUAGGAGCACAUUUCAUAGUUUUUAUGAAAUAAAAGUCCGUACUGUAGACCCUGUUGAGCUCCUCCACCCCCUCGGCAGCCAGACAUGGCAGAACGUCCGGCGCCAGGCCCUCACUUGAUGAAUCCGUGAGACGUUUUCUCCGCAGUGCGCUGAGGCUGAGGCCUCCGGUACGUUUUUGUGUCCCCACGUGGGACCUGGCUGUGGUGUUAGAAGCUCUCUGUAAUCCUCCGUUCGAGCCAAUUGAGGAGAUUUCUGAUCGCCUUCUUAAUAUAAAGACUGUUUUCUUGCUAGCGAUAUCUUCUCUCAAGAGAGUUGGGGACCUACAGGCCCUUUCCGUGGCCCCGUCCUACAUUGAUUUUGCGCCCGGUCUGGCCAAAGCUUUUCUUUACCCUCGAGUGGGGUAUGUCCCCAAGGUCCCCUCCUC
Cyprinus carpio carpio is the source of this 1202-nucleotide long non-coding RNA. The record is from Ensembl. Lineage: Eukaryota; Metazoa; Chordata; Actinopteri; Cypriniformes; Cyprinidae.